RNAcentral lists this ribosomal RNA (254 nucleotides) under uncultured bacterium. RNAcentral describes it as "partial 16S ribosomal RNA". It matches the Rfam family "Bacterial small subunit ribosomal RNA", at positions 524 to 776 of the family's 1533-position model. The record is from RNAcentral.
UACAGAGGUCCCAAGCGUUGUUCGGAUUCAUUGGGCGUAAAGGGUGCGUAGGCGGCGCGGUAAGUCGGGUGUGAAAUCUCGGGGCUUAACUCCGAAACUGCAUUCGAUACUGCCGUGCUUGAGGACUGGAGAGGAGACUGGAAUUUACGGUGUAGCGGUGAAAUGCGUAGAUAUCGUAAGGAAGACCAGUGGCGAAAGGCGGGUCUCUGGACAGUUCCUGACGCUGAGGAGCGAAAGCAUGGGGAGCGAACAGG